GGGGAAAAAUGUUUCUAAUGAAGCUUGAAAAUUAUUGAGAGGGUUGAAUGUCUCCCCAGUCACCCCUGGGGACACAUCUAGAGGGUAAUUUACUAUGGGACACUUGACACAGCAGGAAAUGGGGGAGUAGAUGGCGUAAGAACAGCUGGAACACCUGGAGAAACUUUAUCCUUGAACGGAACUGUGGAUUCAACGUCUUCAUUUCAUUUGCUACCUGGUGGAUUCUUUACCACUGAGCCCCCCGGGAGGCCCCAAGAUGGAGGAUGCUGCUGCUAAGUUGCUUCAGUCGUGUCCGACUCUAUGUGCCCCCAUAGAUGGCAGCCCACCAGGCUCCCCGCCCCUGGGAUUCUCCAGGCAAGAACACUGGAGUGGGUUGCCAUUUCCUUCUCCAAUGCAAGAAAGUGAAAAGUGAAAGGGAAGUCGCUCAGUUGUGUCUGACUCUUCUAAUUUUACUCAAAAAGGAGAACUUCCUGACCCAGGAAUUGAACCAGCUCUCUCCUGCAUUGCAAGCAGACGCUUUACUGACUGAGUUACAUGGGACCUCUUCACUCUGCAGGAGAACAGGGUUUUCUGUGGCAAGUAAGCUUGCUGUUUGGAUAUUUACAUGA
RNAcentral lists this long non-coding RNA (608 nucleotides) under Ovis aries (sheep). Its description in RNAcentral is "lncRNA (ENSOARG00000025760.1)". Lineage: Eukaryota; Metazoa; Chordata; Mammalia; Artiodactyla; Bovidae. The record is from RNAcentral.